AAUUGUAGGUACUUUCAAGAAAUAUAGUUAACUGUAAGUGCUGUAUUUUAAUAAUCUAUCAAAAAUCAAAAUCAUCAGGAUAAUAUUAGGUAUUGAUUUUCAGACAAGAAUUAGAUUACAGUGAUGGUCAAAAACAUUUAGAUAUUGCUUUGAAAUCUACAGAUAAGAGCAACAACACAAUAAAAAACCAAAAUAUGAACACCAGCAACUAAAACAGGAACCAUUAAAUGAAUAUUACACACAGCAAUAACAGCAUCAAAUAAUGGAAAUAAUGGACCCUACUGCUCAAAUCAAAAACAAAAUUUCAUCAUUACCACUUUAUUGGUUAUAUCAAUAAAAGAAAUUAUUGAGUUUAUGAGUCUAGAUCCUACAAGCAAGCAGAUCUAUCACAUAAUUUAAAAUGAAGAUUUAUCUAUUAUAGUAAUUUAUUCUAAUAAU
Long non-coding RNA from Sitophilus oryzae (rice weevil), 438 nucleotides. RefSeq lists it as uncharacterized. Lineage: Eukaryota; Metazoa; Arthropoda; Insecta; Coleoptera; Curculionidae. The record is from RefSeq and is a predicted model, not a curated record. The transcript has 4 exons.